ACACUCCUACGGGAGGCAGCAGUGGGGAAUAUUGGACAAUGGGCGCAAGCCUGAUCCAGCCAUGCCGCGUGAGUGAUGAAGGCCUUAGGGUUGUAAAGCUCUUUCACCGAUGAAGAUAAUGACGGUAGUCGGAGAAGAAGCCCCGGCUAACUUCGUGCCAGCAGCCGCGGUAAUACGAAGGGGGCUAGCGUUGUUCGGAAUUACUGGGCGUAAAGCGCACGUAGGCGGAUAUUUAAGUCAGGGGUGAAAUCCCGCAGCUCAACUGCGGAACUGCCUUUGAUACUGGGUAUCUUGAGUAUGGAAGAGGUAAGUGGAAUUCCGAGUGUAGAGGUGAAAUUCGUAGAUAUUCGGAGGAACACCAGUGGCGAAGGCGGCUUACUGGUCCAUUACUGACGCUGAGGUGCGAAAGCGUGGGGAGCAAACAGGAUUAGAAACCCCAGUAGUCCCAU
This 449-nucleotide ribosomal RNA is filed under the name uncultured organism. RNAcentral's name for it is "partial 16S ribosomal RNA". It matches the Rfam family "Bacterial small subunit ribosomal RNA", at positions 333 to 798 of the family's 1533-position model. The record is from RNAcentral.